This 253-nucleotide ribosomal RNA is filed under the name uncultured bacterium. RNAcentral's name for it is "partial 16S ribosomal RNA". It matches the Rfam family "Bacterial small subunit ribosomal RNA", at positions 524 to 776 of the family's 1533-position model. The record is from RNAcentral.
UACAGAGGUCUCAAGCGUUGUUCGGAUUCAUUGGGCGUAAAGGGUGUGUAGGUGGCGCGCUAAGUCGGGUGUGAAAUUUCGGAGCUUAACUCCGAAACUGCAUUCGAUACUGGCGUGCUUGAGGACUGGAGAGGAGACUGGAAUUUACGGUGUAGCGGUGAAAUGCGUAGAUAUCAGGAGGAACACCGGUGGCGAAGGCGGGUCUCUGGGCCGAUACUGACGCUGAGGAGCGAAAGCGUGGGGAGCGAACAGG